RNAcentral lists this ribosomal RNA (403 nucleotides) under Leptodactylus cf. wagneri J AF-2012. RNAcentral describes it as "partial 16S ribosomal RNA". It matches the Rfam family "Bacterial large subunit ribosomal RNA", at positions 1834 to 2422 of the family's 2925-position model. Lineage: Eukaryota; Metazoa; Chordata; Amphibia; Anura; Leptodactylidae. The record is from RNAcentral.
UUUGACUGCCAAUAAAAGGUCCAGCCUGCCCAGUGACUUUGUUCAACGGCCGCGGUAUCCUAACCGUGCGAAGGUAGCGUAAUCACUUGUUCUUUAAAUGAGGACUAGUAUGAAUGGCAUCACGAGGGUUAUACUGUCUCCUCCCUUUAAUCAGUGAAACUGAUCUUCCCGUGAAGAAGCGGGAAUAAAUCUAUAAGACGAGAAGACCCUAUGGAGCUUUAAAUACACUACAAUUGCCUCACUCUCUGUAAAUCUCUGGAAAACCACUCACCCGGGCACUUUGAUAGCAAGUUUUAGGUUGGGGUGACCGCGGAGCAAAAAACAACCUCCACAGCGAACAGGGCCUUCCCUUAAACCCAGGAUUACAACCCUAAGAAUCAACAAAUUGACACCCAUUGACCCA